AUUGAACGCUGGCGGCAUGCCUUACACAUGCAAGUCGAACGGUAACAGGUUAAGCUGACGAGUGGCGAACGGGUGAGUAAUAUAUCGGAACGUGCCCAGUCGUGGGGGAUAACUACUCGAAAGAGUAGCUAAUACCGCAUACGACCUGAGGGUGAAAGCGGGGGAUCGCAAGACCUCGCGCGAUUGGAGCGGCCGAUAUCAGAUUAGGUAGUUGGUGGGGUAAAAGCUCACCAAGCCAACGAUCUGUAGCUGGUCUGAGAGGACGACCAGCCACACUGGGACUGAGACACGGCCCAG
RNAcentral lists this ribosomal RNA (297 nucleotides) under uncultured bacterium. Its description in RNAcentral is "partial 16S ribosomal RNA". It matches the Rfam family "Bacterial small subunit ribosomal RNA", at positions 30 to 334 of the family's 1533-position model. The record is from RNAcentral.